RNAcentral lists this ribosomal RNA (507 nucleotides) under Ensifer adhaerens. RNAcentral's name for it is "bacterial SSU rRNA". It matches the Rfam family "Bacterial small subunit ribosomal RNA", at positions 143 to 684 of the family's 1533-position model. The record is from RNAcentral. Lineage: Bacteria; Pseudomonadati; Pseudomonadota; Alphaproteobacteria; Hyphomicrobiales; Rhizobiaceae.
AUAACGCAGGGAAACUUGUGCUAAUACCGUAUGAGCCCUUCGGGGGAAAGAUUUAUCGGGAAAGGAUGAGCCCGCGUUGGAUUAGCUAGUUGGUGGGGUAAAGGCCUACCAAGGCGACGAUCCAUAGCUGGUCUGAGAGGAUGAUCAGCCACAUUGGGACUGAGACACGGCCCAAACUCCUACGGGAGGCAGCAGUGGGGAAUAUUGGACAAUGGGCGCAAGCCUGAUCCAGCCAUGCCGCGUGAGUGAUGAAGGCCCUAGGGUUGUAAAGCUCUUUCACCGGUGAAGAUAAUGACGGUAACCGGAGAAGAAGCCCCGGCUAACUUCGUGCCAGCAGCCGCGGUAAUACGAAGGGGGCUAGCGUUGUUCGGAAUUACUGGGCGUAAAGCGCACGUAGGCGGACAUUUAAGUCAGGGGUGAAAUCCCGGGGCUCAACCCCGGAACUGCCUUUGAUACUGGGUGUCUAGAGUAUGGAAGAGGUGAGUGGAAUUCCGAGUGUAGAGGUGA